CCGGGAGCCUCGUGGAGCGGCAGGAGACUCCGCGCCUUCAACGGAACCGAGCGGCAGAGCAGAGAGACGCGGCAGAGCGCAGCGCACUGCACCGUGCCGCUCCAGGGUCUGACACUCUGACUGCAGCAUUUCCGGACGGACAUGGAUGAUUUGGACGCCUUGUUGGCGGACCUUGAGUCCUCGACGGUCAACAUAUCGAAGCGGCCGUGUUCCUGUCGGAGGAGAAUUACUCAGUCCCUCUGUCUGCUGGCUCUGAACAGUUCUGUGAGGGGUCCGAGCAUACUCUGUGCCUGUGGGGAGUCCAGCGGCCCUGCAGCAGGAGCAGCUCAACGGAGACAGCCACAGCCAGCCGUCAGACCCCGCCCUGAGCCCUGCCUCCUGCAGCCCGACAGACGCACCAGAAGCCGACCACAUCUACAGCCUCCCAAACAAACAGAAGAGCACAGAUUCUCCCGCCGCCAUGAACUCUCUGGGCUCAAACCUGUCGGAGCUCGACCGACUUCUGCUGGAGCUGAACACGGUGCAGCACAGCGCCCCACAGAAGGUCAGCGGUCACUAACAAUCUGUUAGUGCUGUUUUAAUGUCAGAGCCAUGUUUGUUUGUUUGACGUUUUGUCGACGUGGGAUUUUGUCUGAAAUCUGAAAACAUGGCCGCGCUCCACAGCGUUUCCCGUGCUUAUCCAUUCAGAAAUACUGACAUGUUUGUUACGCACGGAAUCCCCCCGACAACACUCUGUAAUCCAAAUAUUUGGUCAUUUACUCCUGCCAAAGUCUGCGGGGAUAUCCACGCACAUGUGCAGACGUUAUUAACUUUAGGGCCUUUGUCAUUUCACUCUUUACCAACAUCUCCAGUUUAGUCGCUCCUACAGACUCCACACUUUACAGGCUCCCACUCAACUACAUUUGGAAGGCAAGGCAAGGCAAGUUUAUUUGUAGAGCACAAUUCAUACACAAGGCAAUUCAAAGUGCUUCACAGUUGCAGAAAAAAUUACAAGAAAACAGAUAAAAUCAAUCAAUAAAACAUCAACAUAAAGUUAAUCAAUGACAGUAAAAGGCAAGAGUGCAGAUAAAAUACUUUCAGUUUUCAUAUGCACGGGUAAAAAGAGCUGUUUUCAGCCUGGAUUUGAACAUUGUCAGAGUUGAGGCCUGUCUCACAUCCUCAUGAAGACUGUUCCAGAUUUAGCUGCAUGAAACUGAAACGCAGCCUCACCGUGUUUAUUAUUGACUCUGGGAACCACCAGGAGACCCCUCCCUGAAGUUCUCAGGGCCCGAGAUGGUUCAUACGGCUCUAACAUGUCAGAGAUGGACUUUGGUGCUAAACCAUGAAAAGACUUGUACACAAGCAGAGCUGUUUUAAAUUCUAUUCUCUGAGUGACAGGAAGCCAGUGCAGAGACCGGAGCACUGGACUAAUGUGGUCGUAUUUCCUGGUUCUUGUCAGGACUCGAGCAGCAGCGUUCUGGAUGUUCUGCAGCUGUCUAACAGCUCGUUUAGAAAGGCCAGUGAGCAGGCCAUUACAGUAGUCUAACCUGCUGGAGACAAAUGCAUGGAUGAGUCUCUCUAAGUCUGGUUUUGACACUAUUCCUCUGAUCUUGGCAAUGUUCUUCAGAUGGUAAAAAGCUGAUGAUGUUAUUGCUUUGAUGUGGCUGUUUAAGUUCAGGUCUGAGUCCAUGAUUACUCCUAGAUUUCUAACCUGAUUUUUUGGUUUCAGAGCGAGAGACUCAAGGUGACUGAUAACACUUUGUCUUUGUGUCUGUGGGCCAAAGACAAUGAUCUCAGUUUUGUCUGAGUUUAGUUGGAGAAAGUUGUUUUGCAUCCACAAACAGAUCUGUUCGAUGCAGUGACAGAGUGUAUCUACAGGCCCAUGUUCACCUGCCGUCAGUGACACGUAGAUCUGAGUGUCAUCUGCGUAGUUGUGGUACGACACAUUGUUGCUGUUUAUUAGCUGACCCAAUGGAAGCAUGUACAAGUUGAAUAAGAGGGGUCCCAAGAUUGACCCCUGGGGGACUCCACAGGUCAUGGAAAUUUUGUCUGAGACACAGUUGCCAAUUUCGACAAAGUACGUCCUAUCCUCGAGAUAGGACUUGAACCAGUUUAGAGCAGUACCAGAGAUUCCCACCCAGUUCUAACUUGUGAAGUAAGAUCCCGCGGUCCACUGUGUCAAAGGCAGCGCUCAGGUCCAGCAGAACUAAAACUGAGACCUUACCUGCAUU
Long non-coding RNA from Neogobius melanostomus (round goby), 2210 nucleotides. NCBI's taxonomy places the organism in Eukaryota, Metazoa, Chordata, Actinopteri, Gobiiformes, Gobiidae. The record is from Ensembl.